GGGAGGCGCGGGGAGCUAGCGGCCGAUCCUCAGUCGGGCUGGGGAGAAGACGACCCCCGCUAGUUCGGCCUCUCCAUUCAAGUUCGCUGGCCGCGGCCGCCGGGAUCCGGGGAUGGCACCAGACGCCCGACCGCCUCUGCGCCUUUUUUCCAGCCACCGCGCAGAAAUUUAGGUCAAGGACGUCGGGAUCAAACCCAAACCCUGGCGCUCCUCGGGUGGACCCCGAGACCCCCUAGAAUCGGGGGGCUUCAGGAUUGCGGAGACGCUCUCGCAUAAACACCAGCCACAAGUUUUAUUUUCCUUUCGCGCUGGAAGUUCUCUUUGGCUCUCGCAGCACACCGGCACGUCUUGCGCCGCUCCCCGCCCUUCCCCGGCAGAGCCAGGCCUUCAGAUGACAGCGACGCGGACCCACGUCCUGAGUGCCACUUCACGGGACGCCCUGAGCCGGGACCUUUCCACUCCACCGUUGCGGUUCCUGACCCUCAGCUGCUGUGUGAGGAUGCUCCUCGUUUACUUUUGGUAUUGCAUGUCGCCGCCACGCCGGGCGCUUCACUGAUUAAAGAGACAGCUCACUCCGUGUGUCUCCUGGUGUUACAAGCCUUACUCUCAAGAACCGACAUGGCAGACUUGGCACCAAAAAAAGAGCAAACCCUAUUUUUACCAGAAAAUAUUUGGCAGAUGAAUUUGUAUUCAUAGAAAUCCCAGCGACUAUAAAUUCCAUGUCUGAAAGUAAUGGGCCCUUUGUAUUUCCUUUAUUUUUAAAUUUAUUUUUAAUAGUUUUUUAUUGUAUUUUUUUCCCAUUGUGAUUUAUCCCUUUUAUACCCUCUUCCGCCUCCACCCACCCCUCCCCCCUCCCCAUGUAUUUCCUUUAAACAAAUAAGUAGCUCUUUCCUCAAUGAUGACUUCUGAGCAUGCUCUUAAAUUCAGGGCUAGUGUGUUUUCUUCCAAGAAACAGACAGUGAGCGCGUGCACACAUCCUAGGUUGGUCCUUCUUCUAGGUGUGUAGAACAUGGGAAAACCAAGAUGGUAUCUUUCUAACCGUCAUAACUAGAGGUAUAAAUUAUCGGGAGGGAAAACAUGAAAAAAAGGGUGUGAGGCUGAGAGAAAGUGAAAUUCUAAUUUUCAGACACUGCUGAUGUAACAUACAGCUACUUCUGUGUGUAACUUAUUUACCCCUAACAAGAGUUUGAUACAUUCAGAGGCAUAAAGGCCUUUUCCAUUUAAGUGAUAGAGAAACUUUGUUUUGUUUUGUUUUUAUUUGUCUUUCCAAACUAGCCAAGGAAAUGCAAAAAACAAAAACAAAAACAAAAACAAAACCCAAAAAACAAAUAAAACGUGUUCAGCCAAA
Long non-coding RNA from Phyllostomus hastatus (greater spear-nosed bat), 1348 nucleotides. RefSeq lists it as uncharacterized. The record is from RefSeq and is a predicted model, not a curated record. The transcript is spliced from 3 exons. NCBI's taxonomy places the organism in Eukaryota, Metazoa, Chordata, Mammalia, Chiroptera, Phyllostomidae.